This 99-nucleotide ribosomal RNA is filed under the name Lysobacterales bacterium 13-68-4. RNAcentral's name for it is "Xanthomonadales bacterium 13-68-4 partial 16S ribosomal RNA". It matches the Rfam family "Bacterial small subunit ribosomal RNA", at positions 346 to 444 of the family's 1533-position model. Lineage: Bacteria; Pseudomonadati; Pseudomonadota; Gammaproteobacteria; Lysobacterales. The record is from RNAcentral.
AGGCAGCAGUGGGGAAUAUUGGACAAUGGGGGCAACCCUGAUCCAGCAAUGCCGCGUGUGUGAAGAAGGCCUGCGGGUUGUAAAGCACUUUUGUUGAGG